AUUGAACGCUGGCGGCAGGCCUAACACAUGCAAGUCGAGCGGAAGAAGGGAGCUUGCUCCUGGAUUCAGCGGCGGACGGGUGAGUAAUGCCUAGGAAUCUGCCUGGUAGUGGGGGAUAACGUCCGGAAACGGGCGCUAAUACCGCAUACGUCCUGAGGGAGAAAGUGGGGGAUCUUCGGACCUCACGCUAUCAGAUGAGCCUAGGUCGGAUUAGCUAGUUGGUGGGGUAAAGGCCUACCAAGGCGACGAUCCGUAACUGGUCUGAGAGGAUGAUCAGUCACACUGGAACUGAGACACGGUCCAGACGCCUACGGGAGGCAGCAGUGGGGAAUAUUGGACAAGGGGCGCAAGCCUGAUCCAGCCAUGCCGCGUGUGUGAAGAAGGUCUUCGGAUUGUAAAGCACUUUAAGUUGGGAGGAAGGGCAGUAAGUUAAUACCUUGCUGCUUUGACGUUACCAAAAGAAUAAGCACCGGCUAACUUCGUG
RNAcentral lists this ribosomal RNA (484 nucleotides) under uncultured bacterium. RNAcentral's name for it is "partial 16S ribosomal RNA". It matches the Rfam family "Bacterial small subunit ribosomal RNA", at positions 30 to 507 of the family's 1533-position model. The record is from RNAcentral.